GUAAUUCUAUGGCUAAUACAUGCGCAAAUAUCCUUUUUCGCAAGAAAGAGGAUAGUGUUUAUUAGAUACAGAACCAAUACACCAUCUGUUAACAGCAGGUGGUGUAAAAAAGGUGAUUCAUAGUAACCGAACGGAUCGCAUUAUGGUCAUUUUAUAUGGCUGGCGAUAGAUCAUUCAAGUUUCUGACCUAUCAGCUUUCGACGGUAGUGUAUUGGACUACCGUGGCAGUGACGGGUAACGGGGAAUUAGGGUUCGAUUCCGGAGAGGGAGCCUGAGAAACGGCUACCACAUCUAAGGAAGGCAGCAGGCGCGCAAAUUACCCAAUCCUGACUCAGGGAGGUAGUGACAAGAAAUAACAACACUGGAAAUUUUAUUUCUAGUGAUUGGAAUGAUGGGAAUUUAAACCCCUUUCAGAGUAACAAUUGGAGGGCAAGUCUGGUGCCAGCAGCCGCGGUAAUUCCAGCUCCAAUAGCGUAUAUUAAAGUUGUUGCAGUUAAAAAGCUCGUAGUUGGAUGUCUGCUGGAAGCAAUCAGUCCGCCCUAUUUGUAGGGUGUGCACUUGAUGAAUUCUGGCAUCUAUAUCCCAAUAAUAUGAUGGUGUAUACCCUGUGUACACCCAUCUAUAUUGGGAUAAUACCGUUACUUUGAGAAAAUUAGAGUGUUUGAAGCAGGCUAAUUGCCUUGAAUACUGCAGCAUGGAAUAACAAUAUAGGAUUUCGGUUCUAUUUUGUUGGUUUCUAGGACUGAAAUAAUGAUUAAUAGGGACAGUUGGGGGCAUUCGUAUUUA
This 786-nucleotide ribosomal RNA is filed under the name Sarcocystis cruzi. Its description in RNAcentral is "SSU rRNA". It matches the Rfam family "Eukaryotic small subunit ribosomal RNA", at positions 152 to 900 of the family's 1831-position model. Lineage: Eukaryota; Apicomplexa; Conoidasida; Eucoccidiorida; Sarcocystidae. The record is from RNAcentral.